GCGAGAGUGGCGGAACUGGCAGACGCGCACGUUUGAGGGGCGUGUGGUGACACCGUACGGGUUCAAGUCCCGUCUCUCGCACCA
This 84-nucleotide transfer RNA is filed under the name Clostridiales bacterium. RNAcentral's name for it is "tRNA-Leu". It matches the Rfam family "tRNA". From Rfam's summary of the family: Transfer RNA (tRNA) molecules are approximately 80 nucleotides in length. Their secondary structure includes four short double-helical elements and three loops (D, anti-codon, and T loops). RNAcentral also lists the same sequence under 1 other name. The record is from RNAcentral. Lineage: Bacteria; Bacillati; Bacillota; Clostridia; Eubacteriales.